RNA transcript from Coffea eugenioides, 1422 nucleotides. It is a transcript of the gene named 50S ribosomal protein L11, chloroplastic, with no coding region annotated. Lineage: Eukaryota; Viridiplantae; Streptophyta; Magnoliopsida; Gentianales; Rubiaceae. The transcript is spliced from 5 exons. The record is from RefSeq and is a predicted model, not a curated record.
AGCAUCAGCCUAUGUAACGAAUGUUAUCCACAACUCUCUGUCUCCGUCUCUCUCUCAGUUGCAGUUCGAGGGAGUUUGCCCAAUCAAAUCAGCCAUCAUAGCUUUCUCCUUCCAGGCAUCCCUCUUCCUCUCCUGUUGCCGUUGAAGUUGUAACGAGAUCUUUUCCUGUCUCCUGCUUGCUUCUACUUCUGUUUGGAAAUAAUACGACCAGGAAAUCCGAGAAAAUGGCCUCUUCUGCUAUUGUGUCACGCGCUAGUACAACUUAUUCUAGUCCUCUGAGUAGUCUUGCUUCACAGAAUAAGCCAAGAAACCUCUCAUCGUUCCCAUCUUCUCUCAGUUUGUCCUCAAACCAUAACAUCUCUAAUUUCCCUCUCCAAUUUCAUGCCAAGGGACAACCCUUUACCAAGCGAUCUUCUUCAACUGCUACUAGGCCUCUCAGAGUAAUUUCCAUGGCUCCGCCUAAGCCAGGCGGUAAACCCAAGAAAGUGACUGGGGUUAUUAAGCUGGCUCUGGAGGCAGGGAAGGCCACCCCAUCUCCUCCAGUGGGGCCUGCUCUUGGUUCUAAGGGUGUCAACAUCAUGGCCUUCUGCAAGGAUUACAAUGCCAGGACUGCCGAUAAAGCUGGUUUUGUUAUCCCAGUUGAGAUAACCGUCUAUGAUGAUAAAAGCUUCACUUUCAUCUUGAAGACUCCUCCUGCUUCAGUUUUGCUAUUGAAGGCUGCUGGAGCGGAUAAAGGUUCCAAAGACCCAAAGCGAGAGAAAGUGGGGAAGGUUACUAUUGAUCAAUUGAGGAGCAUUGCUCAAGAGAAAUUGCCAGACCUGAAUUGUUCAACUAUUGAAUCAGCAAUGAGAAUUAUAGCAGGCACUGCUGCUAAUAUGGGAAUUGAUGUUGACCCUCCAGUUCUUGAGCCAAAAAAGAAAGAAUUAGUGUAGUGUUGGUUACUUGGUGCAUUUCCUUGUAGUUUCCUUUGUUUCAUAUUUGUGCCAGUUUUGGCCCUUGGACUCUGUAUUUGGAGUUACAGGAGAUGUUUAUUGGAUAGUUAUCAAGUAGACUGAAUGCUGGAAGAUGGAAAAAGCCUCCAAUUUGCAGUGCUGCAGCAAAGUUAUAGCCAUGCAGGACGACUGAAGCAUAUUUAGAUCCAUUUGAUCUUAUCAAGCACGAAACCUUUCCCAUCUCCCCUUCUUGGUAGGUGAUCUUGUACCACCACUUUCUGGUGCACCUGAACUUUUUGAGGAUGUUUUUGCAAGCGUUAGCUAAUUGUAGCAACUCUAUAUCUUGCAGCGUCUCAGAACUUAAGGACAUGUUAGAAGUGAGGGAAAAUCCUGAUUUCCUAUGAAAAUGUUCAUUUGAUUUGUUAAAUCUUUUAGACAAAUAGCAUCUGUACUCUUCUUUUGAAUGGCAAACAUUUAUGUGUGCAAUUUA